Molecule: ribosomal RNA, 496 nt
Filed under: uncultured bacterium
Lineage: Bacteria
Description: partial 16S ribosomal RNA
Rfam family: Bacterial small subunit ribosomal RNA
Source: RNAcentral
AUGAACGCUGGCGGCGUGCCUAAUACAUGCAAGUCGCGCGAACAGACGAGGAGCUUGCUCCUCUGACGUUAGCGGCGGACGGGUGAGUAACACGUGGAUAACCUACCUAUAAGACUGGGAUAACUUCGGGAAACCGGAGCUAAUACCGGAUAAUAUAUUGAACCGCAUGGUUCAAUAGUGAAAGACGGUUUUGCUGUCACUUAUAGAUGGAUCCGCGCCGCAUUAGCUAGUUGGUAAGGUAACGGCUUACUAAGGCAACGAUGCGUAGCCGACCUGAGAGGGUGAUCGGCCACACUGGAACUGAGACACGGUCCAGACUCCUACGGGAGGCAGCAGUAGGGAAUCUUCCGCAAUGGGCGAAAGCCUGACGGAGCAACGCCGCGUGAGUGAUGAAGGUCUUCGGAUCGUAAAACUCUGUUAUUAGGGAAGAACAAAUGUGUAAGUAACUAUGCACGUCUUGACGGUACCUAAUCAGAAAGCCACGGCUAACUACGUG